This is a small nuclear RNA of Sclerotinia sclerotiorum, 135 nucleotides long. It matches the Rfam family "U4 spliceosomal RNA". From Rfam's summary of the family: U4 small nuclear RNA (U4 snRNA) is a component of the major U2-dependent spliceosome. The structure of U4 snRNA from yeast and human has been reported. The record is from Rfam. NCBI's taxonomy places the organism in Eukaryota, Fungi, Ascomycota, Leotiomycetes, Helotiales, Sclerotiniaceae.
AUCUUAGUGCAUGGGUUUUACGCAUAUCAGUGAGGAUUCGUCCGAGAUUGCGUUUUUGCUAGUUGAAAACUAUAACCAUGACCACUCCAGGUUGGCUUCGGCUGGCCUGGGAAUCUUUGGAACCAAAACAUCUUC